RNAcentral lists this unclassified non-coding RNA (315 nucleotides) under uncultured fungus. RNAcentral describes it as "partial contains 5.8S ribosomal RNA and internal transcribed spacer 2". The stretch from base 1 to 133 matches the Rfam family "5.8S ribosomal RNA", at positions 22 to 154 of the family's 154-position model. The record is from RNAcentral. Lineage: Eukaryota; Fungi.
UGGCUCUCGCAUCGAUGAAGAACGCAGCGAAAUGCGAUAAGUAAUGUGAAUUGCAGAAUUCAGUGAAUCAUCGAAUCUUUGAACGCAAAUUGCGCCCUUUGGUAUUCCGAAGGGCAUGCCUGUUUGAGUGUCAUAUAGACCUUCACCCGACCAUUUGCUUGGUUUCGAGGUGCUUUGGACGUCUGCCAUUAACCUUGGCUCGUCUUAAAUGUCUGAGUGGGGAAAACCUUCGGCGUGAUAAGUCUUCGUCAUUGACCUUUCCACUAUAAUAACACUUCAAUCUCUGACCUCAAAUCAGGUAGGACUACCCGCUGA